This 497-nucleotide ribosomal RNA is filed under the name uncultured bacterium. Its description in RNAcentral is "partial 16S ribosomal RNA". It matches the Rfam family "Bacterial small subunit ribosomal RNA", at positions 28 to 507 of the family's 1533-position model. The record is from RNAcentral.
GACGAACGCUGGCGGCGUGCCUAAUACAUGCAAGUUGAGCGAUGAAGCUUGGUGCUUGCACCAAUUUGAAGAGCAGCGAACGGGUGAGUAACGCGUGGGGAAUCUGCCUUUGAGCGGGGGACAACAUUUGGAAACGAAUGCUAAUACCGCAUAACAACUUUAAACAUAAGUUUUAAGUUUGAAAGAUGCAAUUGCAUCACUCAAAGAUGAUCCCGCGUUGUAUUAGCUAGUUGGUGAGGUAAAGGCUCACCAAGGCGAUGAUACAUAGCCGACCUGAGAGGGUGAUCGGCCACAUUGGGACUGAGACACGGCCCAAACUCCUACGGGAGGCAGCAGUAGGGAAUCUUCGGCAAUGGACGAAAGUCUGACCGAGCAACGCCGCGUGAGUGAAGAAGGUUUUCGGAUCGUAAAACUCUGUUGGUAGAGAAGAACGUUGGUGAGAGUGGAAAGCUCAUCAAGUGACGGUAACUACCCAGAAGGGGACGGCUAACUACGUG